This 1092-nucleotide ribosomal RNA is filed under the name uncultured Pleosporales. Its description in RNAcentral is "eukaryotic LSU rRNA". The stretch from base 460 to 1092 matches the Rfam family "Eukaryotic large subunit ribosomal RNA", at positions 1 to 649 of the family's 3401-position model. Lineage: Eukaryota; Fungi; Ascomycota; Dothideomycetes; Pleosporales. The record is from RNAcentral.
AAGGAUCAUUACAUUCAGUAGCCUAGCUACUUGUUUACACCCUUGUUUUUUGCGUACCUAUUGUUUCCUCGGCGGGCUUGCUCGCCGGUUGGACAAAACUAUAACCUUUUUUAAAUCUUCAAUCAGCGUCUGAAUUAUACAUAAUAAUUACAACUUUCAACAACGGAUCUCUUGGUUCUGGCAUCGGUGAAGAACGCAGCGAAAUGCGAUAAGUAGUGUGAAUUGCAGAAUUCAGUGAAUCAUCGAAUCUUUGAACGCACAUUGCGCCCCUUGGUAUUCCAUGGGGCAUGCCUGUUCGAGCGUCAUUUGUACCCUCAAGCUUUGCUUGGUGUUGGGCGUCUUGUCUUUUAUUAGACUCGCCUUAAAGUCAUUGGCAGCCAGUGUUUUUGGUAGUAAGCGCAGCACAUUUUGCGUCUUAGUCCUUAAAUCGUGGCAUCCAUGAAGCCUCUUUUUCACUUUUGACCUCGGAUCAGGUAGGGAUACCCGCUGAACUUAAGCAUAUCAAUAAGCGGAGGAAAAGAAACCAACAGGGAUUGCCCUAGUAACGGCGAGUGAAGCGGCAACAGCUCAAAUUUGAAAUCUGGCUCUUUCAGAGUCCGAGUUGUAAUUUGCAGAGGGCGCUUUGGUGUUGGCAGCGGUCCAAGUUCUUUGGAACAGGACGUCACAGAGGGUGAGAAUCCCGUACGUGGUCGCUAGCCCUCACCGUGUAAAGCCCCUUCGACGAGUCGAGUUGUUUGGGAAUGCAGCUCUAAAUGGGAGGUAAAUUUCUUCUAAAGCUAAAUACUGGCCAGAGACCGGUAGCGCACAAGUAGAGUGAUCGAAAGAUGAAAAGCACUUUGGAAAGAGAGUCAAAUAGCACGUGAAAUUGUUGAAAGGGAAGCGCUUGCAGCCAGACUUGCCUGUAGUUGCUUAUCCGGACUUUUGUCCGGUGCACUCUUCUGCGGGCAGGCCAGCAUCAGUUUGGGCGGUUGGAUAAAGGUCUCUGUCAUGUACCUCCUUUCGGGGAGGCCUUAUAGGGGAGACGACAUGCAACCAGCCUGGACUGAGGUCCGCGCAUCUGCUAGGAUGCUGGCGUAAUGGCUGUAAGCGGCC